GAUGAACGCUAGCUACAGGCUUAACACAUGCAAGUCGAGCGACCGGCGCACGGGUGAGUAACACGUAUCCAACCUGCCCUUUACUCGGGGAUAGCCUUUCGAAAGAAAGAUUAAUACCCGAUAUAAAGGAUGGGGAUGCAUUCCAUUAGGGUGUUGGUGAGGUAACGGCUCACCAAGCCUUCGAUGGAUAGUUGUUCGGAGAGGAAGGCCCACCGGAUUGGAACUACGGCACGGACCACACUCGGAGGGGGGGCAGCAGUAAGGAAUAUUGGGGAAGAAGCGCUAACCUGGACCAGCCGAGUAGCGUAAAGGGUGAUGGGGUAUGAAUCGUCAGCUUCUUGUGUAGAAGAAGCUGUAUUAUAUUAAUAAGCAUCGGCUAACUCCGUGCCAGCCGCCGCGGUAAUAC
This 406-nucleotide ribosomal RNA is filed under the name uncultured bacterium. RNAcentral's name for it is "partial 16S ribosomal RNA". It matches the Rfam family "Bacterial small subunit ribosomal RNA", at positions 28 to 526 of the family's 1533-position model. The record is from RNAcentral.